Molecule: long non-coding RNA, 363 nt
Organism: Vidua chalybeata
Lineage: Eukaryota; Metazoa; Chordata; Aves; Passeriformes; Viduidae
Exons: 3
Source: RefSeq, a predicted model, not a curated record
AGAGAUUGUACCAGAACACAGCUGUUCCCUGGGAAUGGCAGAGAACACUCAGCCCUGUGCUCUGUGCAACACACAUUAAAGCAAAGGUGGGGAGGAGUGGAUUUAUCUGCUGGAUCAAUCCUGCUCACCUUUCUCGGCCAAACGCUGGCUCCCACUUCAGGGAAGACCGUGGCUCCCCCUGCUGACACAUCACUCAUCUGAACAGGUGGGGAAGGACAGGUUCAGCUGGUGGUUUAGAGGGCUUUCUCCAUGGACAUGGAUUAGGAAAGUGGAAGAGCUACAAAAUUUAAUACACAUUGAAAAAUAGAGAGUGUGCCCCAGCCCAGAGGCCCAGGCUUCACCAGGUCUAGCUCUCCUCCAGCU